UACGAAGGGGGCUAGCGUUGCUCGGAAUCACUGGGCGUAAAGGGUGCGUAGGCGGUUUUUUAAGUCAAGGGUGAAAUCCUGGAGCUCAACUCCAGAACUGCCUUUGAUACUGAGGAUCUUGAGUUCGGGAGAGGUGAGUGGAACUGCGAGUGUAGAGGUGAAAUUCGUAGAUAUUCGCAAGAACACCAGUGGCGAAGGCGGCUCACUGGCCAGAUACUGACGCUGAGGCACGAAAGCGUGGGGAGCAAACAGG
RNAcentral lists this ribosomal RNA (253 nucleotides) under uncultured bacterium. RNAcentral describes it as "partial 16S ribosomal RNA". It matches the Rfam family "Bacterial small subunit ribosomal RNA", at positions 524 to 776 of the family's 1533-position model. The record is from RNAcentral.